Molecule: ribosomal RNA, 432 nt
Filed under: uncultured bacterium
Lineage: Bacteria
Description: partial 16S ribosomal RNA
Rfam family: Bacterial small subunit ribosomal RNA
Source: RNAcentral
AGCGAACGCUGGCGGCAGGCCUAACACAUGCAAGUCGAACGAACUCUUCGGAGUUAGUGGCGGACGGGUGAGUAACACGUGGGAACGUGCCUUUUGGUUCGGAAUAACUCAGGGAAACUUGUGCUAAUACCGAAUGUGCCCUUCGGGGGAAAGAUUUAUCGCCAUUAGAGCGGCCCGCGUCUGAUUAGCUAGUUGGUGAGGUAACGGCUCACCAAGGCGACGAUCAGUAGCUGGUCUGAGAGGAUGACCAGCCACACUGGGACUGAGACACGGCCCAGACCCCCACGGGGGGCAGGAGGGGGGAAUCUGGCGCAAGGGGCGAAAGCCUGACGCACCCAGGCCGGGUGAAUGAGGAAGGUCUUAGGAUUUAAAAAUUCUUUCCCCGGGGACGAUAAUGACGGUACCCGGAAAAGAAGCCCCGGCUAACUUCGU